This 22-nucleotide ribosomal RNA is filed under the name Candidatus Liberibacter europaeus. Its description in RNAcentral is "partial 23S ribosomal RNA". Lineage: Bacteria; Pseudomonadati; Pseudomonadota; Alphaproteobacteria; Hyphomicrobiales; Rhizobiaceae. The record is from RNAcentral.
GAUCAAGCGCAAAAGGGCAUUU